This is a long non-coding RNA of Ictalurus punctatus (channel catfish), 2101 nucleotides long. The record is from Ensembl. Lineage: Eukaryota; Metazoa; Chordata; Actinopteri; Siluriformes; Ictaluridae.
UGCGUGUGUGUGUGUGUGUGUGUGUGUGUGUGUGUGUGUGUGAUUUUGGACUGAAUCAGUUUUAUGGCUUUCUUUAUUUAAAUCUUUAUAUUUAUCACUCUUUAUAGUGUUUUAUAUAUAUAUAUAUAUAUAUAUAUAUAUAUAUAGACAAUACAUUUUCUCCAAAACUAAAUAUUAACUAAGUAAAUUAUAAAAAACGAAACAAUAUAAAUAUUUGUAUAAUAAAUGCAUAAUAGACGCAUGUAUACAAAUCUUUUGACGCCUCGAUCUAUACGUCUGCAUCCGUUUUGCACGCUCGCCGUCCACUUUAUUAGGAACGCCUAUAGCUGCCGAUUCAUGCAGUUAUCCAAUCAGCCAAUCAUGUAGCAGCAGCGCAGUGCAUAAAUAAUCACGCAGAUCCAGGUCAAAGCUUCAGUUAACGUUCACAUCAAACAUCAGAAUGGAACCGUGGGAUGGUCGGGAUGGUGGUAUCAGACGGGCUGGUCUGAGUAUUUCAGAAACUGUUGAUCUCCUGGGAUGUUCACACGCAGCAGUCUGCAGAGGAAAAUGGCCAGGUUGAUUCGAGCUGCCAGGAAGGAUAUAGCAACUCAUAUAAUCGAUCUUUACCGCCGUGGUGAACAGAAAAGCAUCUCCGCGUGCACAGAACAUCAAACACUGAGGUGGAUGAGCUACAACAGCCGAAGAUCACAUUGGAUUCCACUCCUGUAGAAACGUUCCAAGUAGAAACGUUAUAAAAUUAACAAUCAAAGAAAUGAAUAUAUGGGUGUGUGUGUGUUUGUAUAGCCUCAGCGGUAUGUUGUUCAUACAAAUGCACUGCUUGGAAGCAAUUCAAAACAGCUUAUUCAAAGCUGCAGAGAAGACACACACACACACACACACACACACACACACACACACAUACAUAGAUGCAUUUCUGUGCAUCUGGAGGCGUGCAGAUUCGGACAAAAUUGGAAAGCGUCAAUUUAUCCCGAGCAUAAAGCCUGCACCAUUUCAGUGAAACAGCAGCAGCAGCAGGACGUCCCUCAUUUCACUAAUGGCUUUAAAUGUUUGCUAAAUUGUUUCCUUUUACACCAAAGACUAACACGAAACAGCGUCAAGCCAGUCGAGAGUGCAAUCCAACACGGCAACCUGUUAUUAGCCCUGGUGCUCAUACAAAUAAAUAAAUACAUACAUACAUACAAUCGUCGACUUCAUCAAACCCACCUCGUGAGAAACCGGUAUCCGUCACGUCACCUCACUGACGUCGCUGUGCUAUCCGGGAUACGUUUCGACUCGCUCGAUACCCGCCGUUACUUGUUAGCUCCAUAAACCUGGACAUCUGGACAGCGCUCCUAACGAAGCUCGACCACCAAACACGCCUGGAAAACACGUGUCGGUUUGAUUGAUUAUUUUUGCUGUAAUAACGACACCAUGAAAAAAAAAAAUCAGCAACAAAUAAACCACGCUAUGUCUCCUGGCUGGUUUUCAUCCUGGUCUGUUUUCUUUUGUUUUUUGGGGUUUUUUUUUGCGCAAAAGGAAACGUUUAAAAGGAUUAGUUAAAUAACAGACUUCCUGCUGUUGCUUCACCUUCAGCCAGAAAAAAAACAACACACACACACACACACACACACACACAAAAGCAGAAACACCUCGACAAAACUGAUUUAUAAGUCGUUCAGGAACAGUGUAAGCAUUUUUUCAAAUUUGUUUAUACCUUAUUAUAAAGUUACUCUUAUAAAGUGCACCGCUGUGUGAACUUCCUUCAUGAUUCGACAGCGUGAACCCGAACAGAAUUAUUAUACUGAUGUUCCUCACGCCGCUUGUCAUACUGUUGUUGUUUUUGAAGAGAUCAUUUCAAGCAGUAAUAUUUUAACGAGGACUAUUAUAUAGGAUUUUUAAUGGGACGUUUAUGACUUUAAAGUCGUGUGAGAGUAUGAAAGAGGACCCUUUAAAUAAAUGGGGGGGGGGGGGGGGGGGGGUGACAUAUUAAACAGAACAGAAAUAUUAAAAUAUCAACAAAAUAUAUCAAAUAGAACCUUUUUAAAUAAACAGAACAAAAAUAUUAAAAUAUUAGCAAAAUAUAUGAAAUAGAAGCCUUUUAAAUAGAUAGAAGAAAAUAUCA